RNAcentral lists this long non-coding RNA (3444 nucleotides) under Venturia canescens. RNAcentral describes it as "uncharacterized LOC122405946, transcript variant X2". The record is from RNAcentral. Lineage: Eukaryota; Metazoa; Arthropoda; Insecta; Hymenoptera; Ichneumonidae.
AUGACUGAUAAAGAUUCGUGUUAUCAAAAGGCUCGUAAAUAAAGAGGAAAAAAGAAUGUGAAAUAAAAAAGAGCGUGAAUACAAGUCCAACCUUCUGGUUGGAGUCGAUCGAUAAAGCUUUGGGUGUUGAAAAGGUAAGAAAACGUUUGAAAUUCGAGCGGCUCGUCGAAAAAUCUCGAUGAUAUACGGCGCGUAAUGUCACAGUUAUGAGUCUAAUGACGUCUCAGGGUAAACGAGUAAUCGGGCUUUGGUGUCGAGAGAUAGAAAACCGUCGUGGACACUCCGCGCCGAAAAAUAGUGACGUGGGGGGUCUGAAAAGUGGCUCUUGUAAAUCAAACUUUCGUUUCGGGAGUCGACGUUCGGUGAAAAAAGAGGAGAAGAAAAAAAAACUAGAAAAUAAAGAGGCAAAGAAGAAUGGAUCGGCGUGGUCGGCGUUGUUAAACAGAAUAUUUCGUAUUGACCUGUUCGCGAAGGGGCGAGCCGGAAAAAUAUUUAAAAGAGGGAAAAAUGAGCGAGGAAAACUUAGCAGCUUAAGGGCACAUAUAGAGGUGUACAAUAAUGUCUAUGUAUAUAUAAAUCUUCCAAGAGCCUCACGAAAGGGGAGAGAAAGAGAGAGAGAGAGAAGAGCGAGGAGAACGGCGAGGGUGGAAGAUCGCAGUGGAAGGUAAGGAUCGUCGUGAGAAGAAGAGGCAGAGCGAGAGAAGAGCGAGGGGCUGCUUGAUCUUCGAGGCGAAGGCAGAAGAUCUAUAACUACGCAGAGCUUCGACGAUAUUUUCCUGUCUGGAGCCCCAGUCUGGUCGAGGAUCGAAAACGGGAUGAGGAUUUGGGAAAAAGGGCGAUGCGCGAUUAUCGCGAAAACAAGGAAAACGAUUGGCAAUCGAGGCAAACGCGACCAGCAGAUUCGUAAGUCCAAUCGAUUUGAUUGGCCGCGAUCGGGAAUCGUACUGAAAAGGAAGAAAAGUAGUAAAGCGUUGAAAAUGCUUGGUAACUAAGGACUCGGAACGAGGUUCGAAUCUCGGGUGGAUCCAAGGGCUUGAACAAAGUUGCUCAUUGUCGCGGCAUCUUGAGGGCGAGCAUAUUCCUCGGUUAAGCGAUAAUAACAAGCGUGUGGAUUUUUGGAAUAGUUUAUAAGGCGGAUGGCAUGGGUCAGAUGGUUGGUAUGUGUGCGGGAGAGGAGAGAGAGAGAGAGAGAGGGAGAAGAGGGAGGGAAAAAGAGUGGCGGAGAAUGAGGCGACGCUGAGGCGAGACGCAACCGUCGAGAUGCUGCUCCGAUGCUGUAGGUGGAUGUGCGAGGUUAUGUGUACGAGGAAAAGGAGACGAGAUGAAGCAAGAAGCUGAGACGACGAGACGGAAGGACGAAUGAGAGAGUAGAAAGAGUCAAAUAGUGAACUCUCGCGCGAGUCCCCAGAGUGCUCGGUACGCCUCUGUAUAGAUAUAGAUAUUAACGUGAAGGAUGAUAUGGUAUAGUACACACGAACGCGGGUCGAUGAGGAUGGUGUCUCUGGAGCGGGGGCGGCGGUCGAGAAGAGCCAACGCGAAGGCGUCAGAGAGGGAGAAAGAGAAAGAGAGAGAGAGAGAAAACCGGCGAGAGGGGAGGGGGGAGAGAAGAAAAAAGAUGACGAAAGAACGAGGGCGAGGGAGAUUGAGAAUGCAAGGAGAGAAAUGUAAGAAAGAGAGCGGCGUGCACAAGAGAUUGUGCGCAUGUGUCUUCGUGUUUGUGUGUAUCACGAACAUAUCUACAAAGCCUGUGCGAAGGCAGAUGCUUGAGAAUGAAAAGGGCGCGUGUCAAAGCUCGAUUGAGAGACUCGCCGUCCCUUUUGCCUCGGGUAAUCGAUACACGUGCAUUUGUAUAGUUUAAUAUACACGUCUAUAUAUUUGUGUACAUUUAUAUCGCUGCACAUCGCUCGUAUGCUUUGUCUAUACGUAUAUACUUUUAUAAUGGGCAGAGCGCACAGAACAAAACGAGACGACGAGUGAACGAGCACACGAGAACAGGACGAAGGGAGUCUUAUCGAAUGAGGGAAAGAGAAAGAGAGAAAAAGAAAGAAGGAAAGAGACCGAGAAAAGAGCAGACGCGCGCGAAGCCGGGCAAGUUUAAGGGAAGUGGGGCUCGGGACGAAGGUGAGAGGAGACUCGAAGAAAGAGAGAAAAGAUCGUAGCGGCAGUGGCAUUGACCCCGUAUAGUGUAGUAAGUAAGGUAAUGUGAGCAGCCAGUGCUAAAGGGUAUUUCCCAUAGAGAAGAAAUAUCUGUAGUAUGAAAUAUCUUCGCGUUACCUACCAACGCCAAAUAGCACCGCUAUCUUCCUGCCCGCGUAUAGCGUCCGGGGAACGAAAUAAGUGGAGCUGAAAAUGAAUAUUCGCUUUGGUAUCUCACGCUGAUUGUUCGAGAUUGCCUUGGGAAUUAUAAAAAUUCGAUGGCGCUUUGGAAUCAGUUAUGGAAAAGCUUACUUUUAUCUCUCAUUUCAUUUAUUUCGAUAUUUUCAAAAGUCAUUUCGAGUUGAGCGUCAAAUUAUUUAUUUCUGAUACACUUUUCCUUCGAAUACCAACAACCUGGUCCAUUUUUGUUCGACUGGGACCUUCGGCACCUGCGGCUGAUGGGCACAUCGUUAUUGUUCAUGCGCCGCGCAUUCGGUUAUUCGUACAACGUCAUUAUUUUAUUCGGCGCGAAGGCGAUCCAGUGAUCGAUGCUCGAGCGACUCUCCGGGGAGGACGAAUAUCGUUCAAAUUACCCGGGUGUACAACGAGCACAGGAAAAAAAGCAAGUGACCAGUUCCGGGGGAAAAAAUUAUCGAAAUUUGUGUGUCAAGUUUUCUCUAAAUGAACAUUCGACUCGUCAAAAUCAAGCAGUCUCGAACGUCACUCGCCAGAAUAUUCUCCAAUAAUAAUAAUUUUCUCGUAUAAAACGAGAGCCUCUCGCUACAGAGUUUUAUCCUCUUAGAUAAAUGUUUUUCAGUCUCUCCACGCUGAAUUUUCAACCUCUCAUUCGCCUCAUGAAAAAAGUCUCUGUGCAUUGGAAAAAACAUAAUCUGACGAAGACUAAGAAAUUAUACGUCGUGAAAAAAACGUCGCGUAACUGAAUCUAACCAAGUGGUAAUACCCAAUAUGUCCACGACGGAUACUAUACGUAUAAGAAGUGUCGCAAAAGACGCACAAGAGAAAAUUGAGAGGCGCUGACAAGGCCGUCUAGCAAUUCACUGCGCACCGUCUCUUCUAUUGCUCCUAUUCUCUGUACACGCUCUCUCUCUCUCUCGCCCCUCCCUUGCCUCCCGCUCGUGUUUACUCUCUUGCGUAUAUCUCUUUCGAGGUUCUUCUAGAUGGAUGAUGAACGUCACUGCGGCUCGGGUCUUGAGCCUGUCCAAUUUACAACAUCAAAAGUUAUGAAAUCGUUUCAACAAAGAAUAAUUAUGAAUAAUUAUUGUGAAAUAAACGAAAUGAGAAUUUUUC